CGCCGCCGGGGGUUAAGGUGAGCGACUGCAGGCAAACCCGGCGACAGCGCAGCUCGCGUCGACCCUGGCUCCUCUGCCUGCCCCCUCGGGCCCCCGCCUCCUUCAGGAUGACGCUGGACGUGGGGCCGGAGGAUGAGCUGCCCGACUGGGCCGCCGCCAAAGAGUUUUACCAGAAGUACGACCCUAAGGACGUCAUCGGCAGAGGAGUGAGCUCUGUGGUCCGCCGUUGUGUUCAUCGAGCUACUGGCCACGAGUUUGCGGUGAAGAUUAUGGAAGUGACAGCUGAGCGGCUGAGUCCUGAGCAGCUGGAGGAGGUGCGGGAAGCCACACGGCGAGAGACACACAUCCUUCGCCAGGUCGCCGGCCACCCCCACAUCAGUGAGGCUGUCUUCCUUGCUCCUGUUAGCAGACGACCCCCCACCUCCUGCUGGCCCUGCCCAUAGCCCACUUCCGCCAACAUUGCCUCCACACCUCUCCUCCCUUCAUUCCACUAAAGAGUGGCCAUCCGUUGGGCGCCCACUGCCUCCUCUGGUUCUCCUUUCUUCCCAGUAACAGCCCGCUGCUGUCCCAGGGUGGCCAAGCCCCGUUAAUGUGCAUCCGCUCCUUUCCAUCUCUGUCUCUCUGCCUCUCUUCCUCUCUCCCUAGUCACCCUCAUCGAUUCGUAUGAGUCUUCUAGCUUCAUGUUCCUGGUGUUUGACCUGAUGCGGAAGGGAGAGCUGUUUGACUAUCUCACAGAGAAGGUGGCCCUCUCUGAAAAGGAAACCAGGUCCAUCAUGCGGUCUCUGCUGGAAGCAGUGAGCUUUCUCCAUGCCAACAACAUUGUGCAUCGAGAUCUGAAGCCCGAGAAUAUUCUCCUAGAUGACAAUAUGCAGAUCCGACUUUCAGAUUUCGGGUUCUCCUGCCACUUGGAACCUGGCGAGAAGCUUCGAGAUCUCCAGGCUGCUGCAGGUGGAUCCUGAGGCACGCCUGACAGCUGAGCAGGCCCUACAGCACCCCUUCUUUGAGCGUUGUGAAGGCAGCCAACCCUGGAACCUCACCCCCCGCCAGCGGUUCCGGGUGGCAGUGUGGACGGUGCUGGCUGCUGGACGAGUGGCCCUAAGCACCCAUCGUGUACGGCCACUGACCAAGAAUGCACUGUUGAGGGACCCUUAUGCGCUGCGGUCAGUGCGGCGCCUCAUCGACAACUGUGCCUUCCGGCUCUACGGGCACUGGGUAAAGAAAGGGGAGCAGCAGAACCGGGCGGCUCUCUUUCAGCAUCGGCCCCCUGGGCCUUUUCCCAUCAUGGGCCCUGAAGAGGAGGGAGACUCUGCUGCUAUAACUGAGGAUGAGGCCGUGCUUGUGCUGGGCUAGGACCUCAACCCCAGGGAUUCCCAGGAAGCAGAACUCUCCAGAAGAAGGGUUUUGAUCAUUCCAGCUCCUCUGGGCUCUGGCCUCUGGCCUCAGGCCCACCACUGAUCCUGCUACCCUCUUGAAGACCAGCCCGGUACCUCUCUCCCCACUGGCCAGGACUCUGAGAUCAGAGCUGGGGUGGAAGGGAGCCAUUCUGAACGCCACGCCUGGCCCGGUCAGUGCUGCAUGCACUGCAUAUGAAAUAAAAUCUGCUACACGCCAGGGAGAA
This 1618-nucleotide small RNA is filed under the name Pan troglodytes (chimpanzee). Its description in RNAcentral is "retained intron". The record is from RNAcentral. Lineage: Eukaryota; Metazoa; Chordata; Mammalia; Primates; Hominidae.